UGAUUUUGUAGAUGGCUGCCCAGCGA
Molecule: non-coding RNA, 26 nt
Filed under: Mus musculus (house mouse)
Lineage: Eukaryota; Metazoa; Chordata; Mammalia; Rodentia; Muridae
Source: RNAcentral